AACCUGGGGAAACCCAGGCUAAUACCGCAUACGUCCUACGGGGGAAAGCGGGGGCUCUUCGGACCUCGCACUAUUGGAUGAGCCUAUGUCGGAUUAGCUGGUUGGUGAGGUAACGGCUCACCAAGGCGACGAUCCGUAGCUGGUCUGAGAGGAUGAUCAGCCACAUCGGGACUGAGACACGGCCCGAACUCCUACGGGAGGCAGCAGUGGGGAAUAUUGGACAAUGGGCGCAAGCCUGAUCCAGCCAUGCCGCGUGUGUGAAGAAGGCUUUCGGGUUGUAAAGCACUUUCAGUGGGGAAGAAGGCUUUGGGGUUAAUAACCCUG
RNAcentral lists this ribosomal RNA (324 nucleotides) under uncultured bacterium. Its description in RNAcentral is "bacterial SSU rRNA". It matches the Rfam family "Bacterial small subunit ribosomal RNA", at positions 145 to 471 of the family's 1533-position model. The record is from RNAcentral.